RNAcentral lists this ribosomal RNA (534 nucleotides) under Clostridioides difficile. Its description in RNAcentral is "bacterial SSU rRNA". It matches the Rfam family "Bacterial small subunit ribosomal RNA", at positions 197 to 752 of the family's 1533-position model. Lineage: Bacteria; Bacillati; Bacillota; Clostridia; Peptostreptococcales; Peptostreptococcaceae. The record is from RNAcentral.
AAUAUCAAAGGUGAGCCAGUACAGGAUGGACCCGCGUCUGAUUAGCUAGUUGGUAAGGUAACGGCUUACCAAGGCGACGAUCAGUAGCCGACCUGAGAGGGUGAUCGGCCACAUUGGAACUGAGACACGGUCCAAACUCCUACGGGAGGCAGCAGUGGGGAAUAUUGCACAAUGGGCGAAAGCCUGAUGCAGCAACGCCGCGUGAGUGAUGAAGGCCUUCGGGUCGUAAAACUCUGUCCUCAAGGAAGAUAAUGACGGUACUUGAGGAGGAAGCCCCGGCUAACUACGUGCCAGCAGCCGCGGUAAUACGGAGGGGGCUAGCGUUAUCCGGAUUUACUGGGCGUAAAGGGUGCGUAGGCGGUCUUUCAAGUCAGGAGUGAAAGGCUACGGCUCAACCGUAGUAAGCUCUUGAAACUGGGAGACUUGAGUGCAGGAGAGGAGAGUGGAAUUCCUAGUGUAGCGGUGAAAUGCGUAGAUAUUAGGAGGAACACCAGUUGCGAAGGCGGCUCUCUGGACUGUAACUGACGCUGAGGC